RNAcentral lists this long non-coding RNA (4448 nucleotides) under Erythranthe guttata (spotted monkey flower). RNAcentral's name for it is "long non-coding RNA (EGUT_LNC003551)". The record is from RNAcentral. Lineage: Eukaryota; Viridiplantae; Streptophyta; Magnoliopsida; Lamiales; Phrymaceae.
UUCACUGUUGAAGCCGGUCCUUUUACUUUGCUCAAUAACUUCAGUGCUUCACUAGCAGCUGAAGCUCUCGGUGUUGAUUCUUUUGUCAAGGAAUUCUGUUUAAACAUACAAGAAAAUCAAGAAUUAAAUAUAUUUUUCUCUCCUGAAAUUAGUCAUUUGUUAGAUACAUAUGCUUUCAUAAACGGCAUUGAGAUUUUCACAGUGCCUGCAAGUCAUUCUUACUUUGAAGGCGGAGAUGUUGGGCUCCAAUUGGUGGGCGAGAAGUCUCGGGUUUACAUUGAUUCCAGCACUGCACUAGAGAUAUUUCACCAAGUAGAGUUUAAGCAGAGCAAUGUUCAUUCUGCCGGAGAUUUUCGUGGACUGUUUCCCAAGUGGGAGAACAUAAAUGCAAAGAGGAAAAACAAUAACACAUGGAAAAUGCCUGUGGAUGUGGGGUUCAAGUACUUGAUCAGAGUUCAUUUCUCUGAGUUAGGGCUCAAGAUUGCAAGAAAUGGUGAUAAUAAGUUCAAAGUCCUUAUUAAUGAAAUGAUUGCUCGAACGAAUAUUGACGUCGUUAAAGAAAGCAAUGAAAAUAAAAUACUCUGGUAUAGGGACUACACGGUGAAGGUGAGAGGAAACAAAAAGGAGGGAAAACGUGAUAUCUUGAUUUCCUUGCAGUCAUAUGAUGAUCUUAUAGACGAUCAGGUACUUGUUUCAGGGUUCGAAAUAUUUAAGUUGAGCAACUCUGAUAACAAUCUUGCCAGUCCAAAUCCUUCACCUCUAGCUCGGGAUUCAGCUUCCAACACUAUAACUCUAUUCCUUUUUCUUUAUCACAGAAAUGCAAUCGCAGAUGUUGCAAUAGCUAUGAUGUCUUUGGUGUGCAUAAUUGGUUAUAAUUUACGGGAAAUUCGGGAAGCUAAUAUUACUGACGAGGAAAACAAAACAAAGCCAAAGCCGAAGCCAUCGCCGUCGCCGUCGCCAUCGCCAUCGCCAUCUGCCAGGGCUGAACGUACUUGUCGCCGUUUUUCACUGGAUGAGAUCAAAUUAGCCACAAAAAAUUUCAAUGACGCACUACUAAUUGGAAGGGGCGGAUUUGGUGAAGUCUACAAAGGCCACAUUGAUAAUAAGCAAACUACCGUUGCUAUAAAGAGGUUGAAAUCAAGCUCCAAGCAAGGUGCACAAGAGUUCUUGGCAGAAAUCGAGACACUUUCUGAGCUCCGACAUGUUAACCUAGUAUCUCUAAUUGGUUACUGCAAUGAAGACGGAGAAAUGAUUCUUAUUUAUGAAUACAUGCCAUGUGGAACAUUGGCUGAUCAUAUUUACAAACUUGCAGGGGAAAAUAAUACCUGCUCUUCUCUCACAUGGAAGCAAUGCCUUGAUAUUUGCAUCGGAGCUGGUCGAGGACUAGAUUACCUCCACACAGGCCAUGGAGUCAUACAUAGAGAUAUAAAGGCUUCAAAUAUCCUGCUUGAUGAAAAUUUCAUAGCUAAGGUUUCUGAUUUCGGAUUGGCCAAGCUUGAAAACAAAAGCAAGUUAAAGACCCACAUUACCACGAACGUUAAAGGCACGUUUGGAUACCUCGAUCCAAAUUACUUCAGCACUCAUAAACUAACCAGGAAAAGUGAUACAUAUGCCUUUGGGGUGGUGUUGUUGGAAGUAUUGUGUGGGAGGCCCGCAGUAGAUUUGAAGGUUCCAGAGGAUAAGCGAGUUCUGUCCAAAUGGGCACGAGAUAAGAUUAGCAUGGGAGAAGCUGAUCAAAUUGUAUCAGUUAGUUUGAGAGACGAGAUUUCACCAAAUAGCCUCACGACAUUUGUUGGAGUUGCCCAAAGAUGCUUAUCCGAUGAACUGAAAAACCGGCCAACAAUGUCUCAAGUUGUGUCACAACUUGAGUUCGCGAUCGAGCAACAGGAGACAAAACAACUUUCGAAAAUAGCAGCAAGUGCGUCUAAUGACAACCAUUGUCUUAAUAAUGAUAAAGAUUGCCUAUCAUUUCAGACUGGUCAACCAACAGCUUUCUCUACAGAAGUGCGAAAUAUCACACCUCCUCCAAAGGAACAAACUAAUAGCAAUGUGGUUGUUGCUCAACUUCCACAGAAUGAUAACGAUGGCCUAUCAGUUCAGACGGAGCAACAAACAAUUUUCUCUACAGCCGUGCAAAAUCUCGCACCUCCUCCGAAAGAACAAACUCAUAGCAAUGUGGCUAUUGCUAAAUUUCCACAAAAUGAUAACAAUGACCUAUCAAUUCAGACGAGGCAACCAUCAAUUUUCUCUACAGUUGUGCAUAAUUUCACACCUUCUCCAAAAGAACAAACUAAUAGCAAUGUGGUUAUUGCUCAGCUUCCACGAAAUGACAAUUAUGGCCUAUCAAUUCUGACAGAGCAACCAGCAGUUUUCUCUACAGCUGUGCAGAAUUUCGCACCUUCUCCGCAAGAACAAACUAUUAGCAAUGUGGCUAUUGCUCAGCUUCCACUCAAGGGAAAUGAAUUGCCAUCAAUUUCAGGUACAAAUUCAAUAAAUGGAGAAAAAACAAAACUUGACUAUUCAUAUCUUAAUAUUCAAACUUGUUAUGGUCUAAUUUAAUGUGCUUCUGAUGUUACCUGAAAUGUAAAACUGGCAGAGUUGGAUUUGGAUACAAGUACACCAGCCAUCAGUGAAUCUUGUUCUACAUGGAACUUAUGCAGACUUUUCUCGUUCAAUGAGAUCAAAGCCGCCACAGGCAACUUGGAUGACAAUUUCAUCAUCGGCAAGGGAAGAUUCUUCAAUGUGUACAAAGGGUUCAUCGAGGACACCGCCACCACUACCACCGUGGCCAUCAAAAUAGUGAAAAUGUCGUCGUCCUCAGGUGUCCGCAAGUUUCUAAAUAGAAUCAAGAUGCUGUCGCAGGUAAGGCACCUCAACUUGGUAUCACCAAUCGGCUACUGCGACGAGGGCCAACAAAUGAUAUUAGUCUAUGAUUACAUGGUGCAUGGCAGCUUACAUGACCAUCUCUACAACUCAAAGAACAAUAUAACAUUAACGUGGAAAAGGCGCCUCCAAAUUUGCUUAGGCGUUGCCGUAGGAUUGCACUACCUUCACAUGGGCAAUGAGUACAACCCCGUCAUGCAUCGCGGAGUCAACUCCACAAACAUCCUACUGGAUGAGAAAUGGGUGGCCAAGGUUUCCUUCGGGCCAAGGUAUAUCGAACUACGACGGUCGACAGCAGAGGACGACGUGCACUACAUGGGCGUGGUGUUGUUCGAAGUGUUAUUCGCCAAGCCAGAGGAGCCGAUAAACUUGGACAAAUGUGUUGAAUUUUGUAAAAGGGAAGGGACACUUAUGGAAAAGGUUCAACCAUUACUUGGGGACGACACAAAACCAUAUAUUGAUUCUAAUCUGUACAAUCAAAUUGCCCCUAAAUGUUUGAAUAAAUUCGUCGAGACAGCCCUGUCAUGCAUAAAUGAAGAGCAAAGUAAGCGGCCGGCAAUGAACGACGUUGUUCGGAGCCUCGAGUUCGCGAUGCAGCUGCAAGUGGCGGAGGAUAAAGGCGGCCGCACAGCUUCCCUUCACUGAGCCUUCUUUCCCGCACCGGGUAAAUCUCCAAUCUCGCGAGCAAUCUUGAACUAAAUCUCAUAAAGAAUUUAGGGUUUGGAAUACGGAAAAUUGGGAAAUAUGUAAUUUGGAGCAUUUCUUAGAAAUAAAUUAGGGAUUUGGAAAAUGGAAAAUUGUUUGGAAGAAAGAGGACAGAUGUAAAUCGCACAUGUCAUAUGCAGGGUCUCAUUUUUUUCUUUCUUGCGUAAAGUUUCAAGUAGGGAAUGAAAUUUAGCCCUAUUCAGUAUUUGAGCAGUCAUUUGUUGAAGAACUAAAUGUUACAUAUAGUUGAAUUUAUUUUCUGCUAACAUUAUUGUAAAAGUAAAAGAAAUGGAUUUUGAAAUACAAUUCACCAUAUUAAAUAAUUAUUAUUCGUCAAUUUGUUAUGUAAAACGAGGGUUGCUAAUUCAAAUCAAUUAGUAAUAUCUCUUGCCAAUAAAUCUUGAAAUAAUAGAAAAACUUUGAAGUAAGCAAUUAUAUAUGUAAGCAUGAAAGCUGUGAAGUAAAGGGAUAGCAUUACCUGACAGACGAAUCCAUUUAGGGAUGAGGUUUCAGAUGAAGUACUAUAUCUAUGUUGAUCUUCAAUCAAGAAGCCUCUUUUUUUUUUUUUUCACUGCGUCAUUUCUUCAAACACCUUGACUACAUUUGCCGAAGAUUCACAAUUCACCAAAGCAGUAGCCAAGCGACGCACUCUGUAACGCAAAGAUCACUGUAUGUUGGGGAAACCAAAAUCAAAUCCGACAGUAUCUUUAUGCCCUGCUUGUUUUAAUGCCUGGUUGCAAAGUUUUUGACAUCGUGAUAAAACUAUUAAAUUAUUAUUAGAUUAUUUUGGUGGGGGUGGGAUUAAUCAGUUUUUAUUAGGUACGGCCUACUACGCGUACACAAAUGUGUCCCCAAAUGAC